CCAGACUCCUACGGGAGGCAGCAGUGGGGGAUAUUGCACAAUGGGGGGAACCCUGAUGCAGCGACGCCGCGUGAGUGAAGAAGUAUUUCGGUAUGUAAAGCUCUAUCAGCAGGGAAGAAAAUGACGGUACCUGACUAAGAAGCCCCGGCUAACUACGUGCCAGCAGCCGCGGUAAUACGUAGGGGGCAAGCGUUAUCCGGAUUUACUGGGUGUAAAGGGAGCGUAGGUGGCAUGGUAAGCCAGAAGUGAAAACCCGGGGCUCAACUCCGAGGAUUGCUUUUGGAACUAUCAAGCUGGAGUGCUGGAGGGGUAAGCGGAAUUCCUAGUGUAGCGGUGAAAUGCGUAGAUAUUAGGAGGAACACCGGUGGCGAAGGCGGCUUACUGGACAGAAACUGACACUGAGGCUCGAAAGCGUGGGGAGCAAACAGGAUUAGAUACCCGCGUA
Molecule: ribosomal RNA, 445 nt
Filed under: uncultured bacterium
Lineage: Bacteria
Description: partial 16S ribosomal RNA
Rfam family: Bacterial small subunit ribosomal RNA
Source: RNAcentral